GACGAACGCUGGCGGCGUGCUUAACACAUGCAAGUCGAACGGAAAGGCCCUGCUUUUGUGGGGUGCUCGAGUGGCGAACGGGUGAGUAACACGUGAGUAACCUGCCCUUGACUUUGGGAUAACUUCAUGAAACUGGGGCUAAUACCGGAUAGGAUCUCCUGCUUCUUGGUGGGGGUUGGAAAGUUUCGGCGGUUGGGGAUGGACUCGCGGCUUAUCAGCUUGUUGGUGGGGUAGUGGCUUACCGAGGCUUUGACGGGUAGCCGGCCUGAGAGGGUGCCCGGACACAUUGGGACUGAGAUAAGGCCCAGACUCAUACGGGAGGCAGCAGUGGGGAAUAUUGCACAAUGGGCGGAAGCCUGAUGUAGCAACGCCGCGUGCGGGAUGACGGCAUUCGGGUUGUAAACCGCUUUCGCCUGUGACGAAGCGUGAGUGACGGUAAUGGGUAAAGAAGCACCGGCUAACUACGUG
RNAcentral lists this ribosomal RNA (468 nucleotides) under uncultured bacterium. RNAcentral describes it as "partial 16S ribosomal RNA". It matches the Rfam family "Bacterial small subunit ribosomal RNA", at positions 28 to 507 of the family's 1533-position model. The record is from RNAcentral.